UACGGGGGGUGCGAGCGUUAAUCGGAAUAACUGGGCGUAAAGGGCACGCAGGCGGGCUUUUAAGUGAGGUGUGAAAUCCCUGUGCUUAACCUGGGAAUUGCAUUUCAUACUGGGAGUCUAGAGUACUUUAGGGAGGGGUAGAAUUCCACGUGUAGCGGUGAAAUGCGUAGAGAUGUGGAGGAAUACCGAUGGCGAAGGCAGCCCCUUGGGAAUGUACUGACGCUCAGGUGCGAAAGCGUGGGUAGCAAACAGG
RNAcentral lists this ribosomal RNA (253 nucleotides) under uncultured bacterium. RNAcentral describes it as "partial 16S ribosomal RNA". It matches the Rfam family "Bacterial small subunit ribosomal RNA", at positions 524 to 776 of the family's 1533-position model. The record is from RNAcentral.